This 811-nucleotide long non-coding RNA is filed under the name Coturnix japonica (Japanese quail). Its description in RNAcentral is "lncRNA (ENSCJPG00005001595.1)". Lineage: Eukaryota; Metazoa; Chordata; Aves; Galliformes; Phasianidae. The record is from RNAcentral.
UGGAUGGAUGGGGAUGGAUGGCAUGGAUGGGAUGGAAUGAUGGGAUGAUGGAUGGGAUGGGAUGGAUGGGAUGGAUGGGAAUGGGAUGGGAUUGGGAUGCGAUGGAUGGGCAUCUGGAUGGGAUGGAUGGGAUGGGAUGGGAUGGUGGCAGGGAUGGGCUAUGGAUGGGUUAUGCGAAUGGGAUGGAUGGGAUGGAUGACUGGGCAUGGAUGGGAUGGGUUGGGAUGGGAUGGGAUGGGAUGGAUGGGAUGGGAUGGAUGGGAUGGGAUGGGAUGGGAUGGGAUGGGAUGGAAUGGGAUGGGAUGGAUGGGAUGGGAUGGGUGGGAUGGGAUGGGAUGGAUGGAUGGAUGGGAUGGGAUGGGAUGGAUGGGAUGGGAUGGGAUGGGAUGGGAUGGGAUGGGAUGGAUGGGAUGGGAGGAGGGAUGGGAUGGGACCCCGAUGCGAAUGCGGAUGCGGAUGGGAUCGGAUGGGAUGGAUUGGACUGGGAUGGGAUGGAUGGGAUUGGGAUGGAUGGAUGGAUGGAUGGAUGGGAGGGGAUGGAUGGGUUGGGACUGGGAUGGGAUGGCAUGGAUGGGAUGGAAUGGGAUGGGAUGGCAAUGGUUGGGAUGAGGUGGAUGGCAAUGGAUGGGAUGAGGUGGAUGGCAAUGGAUGGGAUGAGGUGGAUGGGAUGGGAUGGAUGGAUGGAGGAUGGGAGGGAUGAUGGAUGGGAUGGAUGAGGGAUGGGAUGGGAUGGAUGGGGUGGGAUGGGAUGGAUGGGAUGGGAUCAAUUGGAUGGAUCAAUGGGAAUGGAUGGAUGGGAUGGGAUCGGGAU